GAAUGCGACGUAGAUCUUCUUUCAUCUUUUCUAAAAUCCUAAGCGUUUCACCUCCUACGGUUUCCAGAUUGAUAAUGAACUUUAAUAAUCAUCAAUAGAAACGUCCCCUUCAAUCACAUGUCCUAAAUUCACAUCUACUCCCUUCCAAGCUUUCUCUAUCGUCAUGAUUCACAUGGGAUUCAAAGCUUUUAGCAGAAAGUUGGAUUCAUAAGACUCCUUAGUCUGACGUCACCGUCGCUCCAACAAAUGAAGCCUCUGCCAGCCUCGGUCGUAAAUGGAAGUGGAAUCAAGGUAUCGGAUCCCUCUCCCCAGCUUCCUGUCUUCAGAACGCUGAUUGCAGUCAGUUGAUUGGAUUGAAGGAAAGACAUCACUUUGCAAAUCGAAAUUAGGUUAGAGCCGGAUACUGUUGCUUCCUUUUGCUUACUGAUAAGAUUGAAUAUUUAUAUUGACAUCGUCUCUAUGUAUUAAAUUUUAUGAUACUUUGAUGAUGAUAUAUAUUUUAAUUUGAUUGGAAAUAAGUGGUUCAACAGAUGCCACCAACUUUGGCUUCAAGCUCUAUAACCACGGCUGGUGGUCCGCCUGCUCUAACUCCUGCACCACCUUCCAAACUGAUGUUCAGGUAGUUUAGUUAUCCAAAGUGUUUUUCCUCUCUUCUUUUAGUUUAUCACUCACUAUAUAUCUCAAACUCGAUAGAUCAACAGACCCGAGUUCUACCAGAAGCAGGAAGAAGUGACGGUCUCAAUUUUCUCCAAAGCAUAACGUAAAAAGUCGAGUUUGAUGACCAGAUUGUGAGUAUCAUUUGAUCAGAUAAAUGCAUUACCUUUAACUGAACCUAUCUUGCUUUGUGAUUUGGCACUGCGUACUGAUUUGAGAUAUCUAUUCAGGUUAUGUUUUUCAGUUGAUGAUGUUUCUCAUUUUGCUGGAGAAGAAGCUUAUCUUUACUAACCAAGUUUGUUUGGGAAGGUGUAUAUAUUCGUCAACUUGAACAGUGGGUUUUGUCCAUGCCUUUACAAAAUCAAUAUUCAUGUGUUAUAUAGAUAGUACGUGAAGUGCAUAUAUAAAGUUUUUGGAGCCAAAUGUUGAGAUCCGUCUCGCAAAAGCUGAGAUAGUAACUUGGGCAUCCCUUGAAUAUGGAAAAGGGAUAGCUCUUCUGCCUAAACCUAAUCUCGCAUCAAUUUUUUAAAACAGCGAAGUCUUUAUUUCUUCUUACUUUUUCGCUUUGUUUUAAUCUAUUCAUAACAGCCGUGUGUGCCGUGAUACAGGGCUCGGUGGACGUUGUGUUUAUGAGAAGAACUGAUGAAUUCCAAGCUAUGAAGAGACACAACAAUGUACUGUUGCAUCAUGCAUGGACGGUUGAUGGAUCAAAAGAUUCUGGAUGGAAAUACUGAGGUUGCUCCUGUUGCAACUCGAGUGCAUGUAAAUGGAUUGAAGGAAGGAUUGAGAGGACUGUUUCCAUUGUUGGAGGCAGGAAAAGAAGACUAGGAAGAUGCACAUCUCCUUCUGUGAGACACCUUCCAAUGCCAAGACGACUCUGGAAAAUCGACAGACACUGGUCACUUGAUCGACAAGCUUCAUGGUUUAGGAAGUUUUAGACCACCGAGUACUACUGCACUGUCUUUGCUGCUUCUUAUCUUGAUUUCAUCAAGAACAUGGUUAGUGGUACCUCCCAGGAUGAUUGUGUUGUUUUUAUCAUUGACUCCACCAUUGGUGGUUUCAAAGUUGGUAUCUCUAAGGAUGGACAGACCCAUGAGCACACUCUCCUUUGCAUCACCCUUGAUGUCAAGCAAAUGAUUUUUUUUUCUGUAAUAAGGUGAACUAGCUUUUCAUUUUUCAUUGCUUGAUGUGACCAUACUCUUUUGAUACGAUACUAACAUCAAUUCAUGUCUUUUGUUGUUUUUCUGUUGCAGAUGAAUGCAACUACCCCCAUAUACUCCAAGGGUAAGUACAAUGAGAUUAUCAGGGAGGUGUUUUCUUACUUAAAGAAGUUUGGAUACGACACUUGAAAAAUUCCAUUCGUCCCCAUCUCUGCUUUUGAGGAUGACAACAUGAUUGAGACGUCCACCAACCUUGACUGGUAUAAUGGACCAACUCUCCUUGAGGUUUUUGACCAGAUCAACGAGCCCAAGCGGCCCUCAGAUAAGCCCCUCCGUCUUCCACUCCAGGAUAUUUAAGGGUUGUAUUGGAACGGUGCCAGUGGGUCGUGUGGAGCCUGGGUAUGGUUGUCACCUCUGCACUCUGGCCAGCGUGUUGGAUAUGAUCAGAGACAGAUGUAUUAAGAUACAAAAGCAGAUAAAAUAAGCAGAGAGUCAUGCGUUUGUGGAGCAACUCUAUGGAUGAGAGCACUUUAGAAAAGGAGGCCACGAUGGAUCUGUAUUUGUACAGCUUCAUGGAAUGCAUAAGGAGCAUCUUUUGGACAUCACUUUUUCAAACAUCCUUCACUUGCAAGUAAAUGACGGUCAAAAUAUGUUUAAUCAAGAUUUGUGCUCACAAAAAAAUUAUACGUAUUUAUUAAAGGUUUACAAGUGCUUUCAGUAUUGUAACUGUGAUUGGUCAUAUACGUUCUCUUCUGGUGAAGUUAGGAGAGGUACUUAGAACUAAAGGAGGAAGAGGAUGUAUUAUUAUAUUAAGGCUCCCAAGAAUAAAGAUACUAUACUUUGAUUCAACCGAGUAAAAAGAAACAUGAUUUUGGUAAUGAUAGUCUUAGUAGUUGUGUUAUCCAAUAUUGUUUGUUCUCAAUUACGUACGAGUAGUAAGUCUAUAUUCACUUUUGGAGGAUAACAGAUCAUAUGGUAUAACAUUUUUGUCUCGAAAAAAAAUUCAAGGGGGAAAGGUUUGGCUAAAAAUUUUAGUCUAUAGAUAUUAAUAUACUAUAGAAAAAAAUUACAAGAACAACUAACAAUUUGAGUAGUUAAUUUUUUGGUUUAACUGGUUUAGUUUCUAGACAACACCUUUUGAUUGUUCAGCUUCAACCUUCUCAGUUCUCACACUUUUAGAAUAUAAUGUUAUCCCUUAAGACUUCAUUUGGAAGGUUUAAUAUUUAUUUAAAUUAUAUUUAAGGAAAUAUAGGAAAUUGUUAUAUACAAAAAAGUCAUUUGUCGGCGACUCAUGUAAUUUCAAACGGAUUGUGUUUGUUAGAAUUACAAUUUUUAAACGAAAACAAACAUCAUCUAUGAACAAUCAGUUUGCCUGGAAAACAUAUAUUACUAUUUCGUUCACAUUACAAAAAAAAUAUAUGAUGAGUUCAAAUACAAAUAUUGGCAAAAAUAAUAAAAUAUACAAGCAACGUAAUUUUUUCAUCAAAUUUCAUUUGAUAUUGAAAUAGUUUUUAUCUAUGUUUUCAGUCUUUCAACCAAUAAAUAUUAAAAUAAUUAAAUUAUUAACAAUAAAUUUGUGAAAAUAUGGAUGAACAUUAGAUGAUACUAAUAUUGGUUAAGAAAAAAAAAAUUAAGGAAAAUAUCUAUGUUUUUACUAAAUUUAGAAUUUUGUGUCUCGAAAUGAUACACCAGUUUUUAUUACUAAUUUAAUAUUUUUUAAUAAUAAAAGAUAUAUUUUACCAUAUCAAAUGCACUUAAAUUGGGAAAAUAACCUUUUAGUAUAAUAUUUUUUAAAAAUAUAUAUAAUAUUUGAUUCUAUCAUUAUUAAUAACUGUAUUUCAGUUUAAUUUUAGUAUCUCAUAUGAGGUGAAGAAUGUGUAUAUUGCAUAGAUUUAUUAGCCUAGAAUUUAAUACGAUUCAAAAUGUUAAAAUGUUUGUUGAAAUAAAACAAAAACAAUUGAAUCACAACUAAUUUUAGUUAAUUAUAUAUUCACCUUCUUAUUGUGUACCAUCCAAAAUAUGCUUUGUGUUAUUUUAUUUUAUUUUGACUAAAGGCUUAUGCUUUGUGUUAUUGUAACAACCAAUUUUGAAUUCUAAUCUUCUAACUUCAUUUUAUAAUAUAUUUUUAUAAAAUAUACGCAUUACUUUUUCAAAUAAAAAUAAAUUAAAAAUUUAUGAAACUUAGACUAAUAUAUUUUUAUAAGGAAUUUUUAGUGUAUUUAAAUCAUAAAACUUUAAAAAUAUUUUUUUAUUUAAACCAUUGUAUGUCUCUGUUUUGAAAAGGAGAUACAUCUUUUAAUUUAAAACAAUGAAUAUAUUAAAUUGGCCGUAUUUACUAUAAUAGUAAGAAAACAUGUUACAAUCGUAAGAAAUAUAUUAUGAAAACUUAUAAUAUAUUAAUAAAACAGGAUUUUAUAAAUAAACAAUAAAAUAUACAUGUAUAACAAAAUUAAAUAUA
Long non-coding RNA from Brassica napus (rape), 4272 nucleotides. RefSeq lists it as uncharacterized. The record is from RefSeq and is a predicted model, not a curated record. The transcript is spliced from 3 exons. NCBI's taxonomy places the organism in Eukaryota, Viridiplantae, Streptophyta, Magnoliopsida, Brassicales, Brassicaceae.